CGCCAGACUCCUACGGGAGGCAGCAGUGAGGAAUAUUGGUCAAUGGGCUUACGCCUGAACCAGCCAAGUCGCGUGAGGGAUGACGGCCCUACGGGUUGUAAACCUCUUUUGUCGGGGAGCAAAUUCCGCCACGUGUGGCGGAGUCGAGAGUACCCGAAGAAAAAGCAUCGGCUAACUCCGUGCCAGCAGCCGCGGUAAUACGGAGGAUGCAAGCGUUAUCCGGAUUUAUUGGGUUUAAAGGGUGCGUAGGCGGAAUGCCAAGUCAGCGGUAAAAUCGCGGGGCUCAACCUCGCUCCGCCGUUGAAACUGGCGUUCUUGAGUGGGCGAGAAGUAUGCGGAAUGCGUGGUGUAGCGGUGAAAUGCAUAGAUAUCACGCAGAACUCCGAUUGCGAAGGCAGCAUACCGGCGCCCAACUGACGCUGAAGCACGAAAGCGUGGGUAUCGAACAGGAUUAGAUACCCUGGUACC
RNAcentral lists this ribosomal RNA (468 nucleotides) under uncultured bacterium. RNAcentral describes it as "bacterial SSU rRNA". It matches the Rfam family "Bacterial small subunit ribosomal RNA", at positions 329 to 796 of the family's 1533-position model. The record is from RNAcentral.